Molecule: non-coding RNA, 327 nt
Organism: Vicia faba (fava bean)
Lineage: Eukaryota; Viridiplantae; Streptophyta; Magnoliopsida; Fabales; Fabaceae
Source: the annotation of a GenBank genome assembly
AUGAAAGGUAUGAUUUUAAAAGUAGACUUUGAGAAAGCCCAUGAUAAUGUUAAUUGGAAAUUCUUGCUAUGCAUUUUGAGAAGGUUCGGCUUUGGAGGGAGGUGGAUAAGGUGGAUUGAUUCUUGUGUGUGCAGUGCAUCACUUUUGGUACUCAUAAACGGGAGUCCCGCUGGUGAUUUUUCGAUGGGGAAAGGAUUGCGUCAAGACGAUUUGUUAUCCCCUUUCUUGUUCACUCUAGUGGCGGAGGGUCUAGCGUUGUUAGUCAAACGGGCGGUGGAGAUUGGGGCAUUCUCAGGAUUCAAGGUAAGCCCUACUUUGGAGUUUUAG